UACAGAGGCCUCAAGCGUUGUUCGGAUUCAUUGGGCGUAAAGGGUGCGUAGGUGGCUUGGUAAGUUGAAGGUGAAAUCUCGGGGCUCAACUCCGAAACUGCCUUCAAUACUGUCGAGCUCGAGGAUUGUAGAGGAGAAUGGAAUUCACGGUGUAGCAGUGAAAUGCGUAGAUAUCGUGAGGAACACCAGUGGCGAAGGCGGCUCACUGGCCCGGAACUGACGCUGAGGUGCGAAAGCGUGGGGAGCAAACAGG
This 253-nucleotide ribosomal RNA is filed under the name uncultured bacterium. Its description in RNAcentral is "partial 16S ribosomal RNA". It matches the Rfam family "Bacterial small subunit ribosomal RNA", at positions 524 to 776 of the family's 1533-position model. The record is from RNAcentral.